AACAACGGAGAGUUUGAUCCUGGCUCAGGAUGAACGCUAGCGACAGGCCUAACACAUGCAAGUCGAGGGGCAACGGGGAUGUUAGCUUGCUAAUAUCUGCCGGCGACCGGCGCACGGGUGAGUAACGCGUAUGCGACCUGCCCGUCACAGGGGGAUAAUCCGGAGAAAUCCGGUCUAAUACCGCAUAAUAUCGUGAAGCUGCAUGGUUUUGCGAUUAAAGGAGCGAUCCGGUGACGGAUGGGCAUGCGUGACAUUAGCUAGUCGGCGGGGUAACGGCCCACCGAGGCGACGAUGUCUAGGGGUUCUGAGAGGAAGGUCCCCCACACUGGUACUGAGACACGGACCAGACUCCUACGGGAGGCAGCAGUGAGGAAUAUUGGUCAAUGGGCUUACGCCUGAACCAGCCAAGUCGCGUGAGGGAAGACUGCCCUAUGGGUUGUAAACCUCUUUUGUCAGGGAGCAAUUGGCGCUACGUGUAGCGUUAUCGAGAGUACCUGAAGAAAAAGCAUCGGCUAACUCCGUGCCAGCAGCCGCGGUAAUACGGAGGAUGCGAGCGUUAUCCGGAUUUAUUGGGUUUAAAGGGUGCGUAGGCGGAAUGCCAAGUCAGCGGUAAAAUCGCGGGGCUCAACCUCGCUCCGCCGUUGAAACUGGCGUUCUUGAGUGGGCGAGAAGUAUGCGGAAUGCGUGGUGUAGCGGUGAAAUGCAUAGAUAUCACGCAGAACUCCGAUUGCGAAGGCAGCAUACCGGCGCCCAACUGACGCUGAAGCACGAAAGCGUGGGUAUCGAACAGGAUUAGAUACCCUGGUAGUCCACGCAGUAAACGAUGAAUACUAGCUGUUCGGGGCAAAUGAGCCUUGAGUGGCACAGCGAAAGCGUUAAGUAUUCCACCUGGGGAGUACGCCGGCAACGGUGAAACUCAAAGGAAUUGACGGGGGCCCGCACAAGCGGAGGAACAUGUGGUUUAAUUCGAUGAUACGCGAGGAACCUUACCCGGGCUCAAACGCAACCGGAAUGUAUCCGAAAGGGUACAGCUCUACGGAGUCGGUUGCGAGGUGCUGCAUGGUUGUCGUCAGCUCGUGCCGUGAGGUGUCGGCUUAAGUGCCAUAACGAGCGCAACCCCUAUCGACAGUUGCUAACGAGUGAAGUCGAGGACUCUGUCGAGACUGCCGGCGCAAGCUGUGAGGAAGGCGGGGAUGACGUCAAAUCAGCACGGCCCUUACGUCCGGGGCGACACACGUGUUACAAUGGCGACUACAGCGGGAAGCCACUUGGCGACAAGGAGCGGAACCCGAAAAGUCGUCUCAGUUCGGAUUGGAGUCUGCAACUCGACUCCAUGAAGCUGGAUUCGCUAGUAAUCGCGCAUCAGCCAUGGCGCGGUGAAUACGUUCCCGGGCCUUGUACACACCGCCCGUCAAGCCAUGGAAGCCGGGGGUGCCUGAAGUGCGUGACCGCAAGGAGCGCCCUAAGGUAAAACCGGUGACUGGGGCUAAGUCGUAACAAGGUAGCCGUACCGGAAGGUGCGGCUGGAACACCUCCUUUCU
Molecule: ribosomal RNA, 1541 nt
Filed under: bacterium J10(2018)
Lineage: Bacteria
Description: bacterial SSU rRNA
Rfam family: Bacterial small subunit ribosomal RNA
Source: RNAcentral